UUGGUGUGAAUUGCAGAAUCCCGCGAACCAUCGAGUUUUUGAACGCAAGUUGCGCCCGAGGCCUCCUGGCUGAGGGCACGUCUGCCUGGGCGUCACGC
This 98-nucleotide ribosomal RNA is filed under the name Echinolaena inflexa. Its description in RNAcentral is "partial 5.8 ribosomal RNA". It matches the Rfam family "5.8S ribosomal RNA", at positions 62 to 154 of the family's 154-position model. Rfam says of the family: 5.8S ribosomal RNA (5.8S rRNA) is a component of the large subunit of the eukaryotic ribosome. It is transcribed by RNA polymerase I as part of the 45S precursor that also contains 18S and 28S rRNA. The record is from RNAcentral. Lineage: Eukaryota; Viridiplantae; Streptophyta; Magnoliopsida; Poales; Poaceae.